CGGCGCACGGGUGCGUAACGCGUAUGCAAUCUACCUUUCACAAAGGGAUAGCCCAGAGAAAUUUGGAUUAAUACCUUAUAGUAAUACGACUUGGCAUCAAGAUGUAUUUAAAGAUUUAUCGGUGAAAGAUGAGCAUGCGUCCCAUUAGCUAGUUGGUAAGGUAACGGCUUACCAAGGCAACGAUGGGUAGGGGUCCUGAGAGGGAGAUCCCCCACACUGGUACUGAGACACGGACCAGACUCCUACGGGAGGCAGCAGUGAGGAAUAUUGGACAAUGGGCGCAAGCCUGAUCCAGCCAUGCCGCGUGCAGGAUGACGGUCCUAUGGAUUGUAAACUGCUUUUAUACGAGAAGAAACACCUCUACGUGUAGAGACUUGACGGUAUCGUAAGAAUAAGGAUCGGCUAACUCCGUGCCAGCAGCCGCGGUAAUACGGAGGAUCCAAGCGUUAUCCGGAAUCAUUGGGUUUAAAGGGUCCGUAGGCGGUCAGAUAAGUCAGUGGUGAAAGCCCAUCGCUCAACGGUGGAACGGCCAUUGAUA
Molecule: ribosomal RNA, 538 nt
Filed under: uncultured Flavobacterium sp.
Lineage: Bacteria; Pseudomonadati; Bacteroidota; Flavobacteriia; Flavobacteriales; Flavobacteriaceae
Description: bacterial SSU rRNA
Rfam family: Bacterial small subunit ribosomal RNA
Source: RNAcentral